UCUCUCUCUCUCUCUCUCUCUAAGACCAUCUCUCUCUUUUCUUCUUCAUUUUCCUCAACCACCCCAGAGCCCUUCUAUCUCUCUUAUUCUCCAUGACCGGCAACAUCAGGACCAAAACAUAUGGUGAAAAUUUUGGAAUCUCUUCCAGCAUUCUUGUGAGACUCUAAUUGGUCUGGAUAUGAAGCUACUAAACGCAUGAGACACAGAAAUCAUCUUAAUUGGUAAAACCAUUUUUAUGGUUUGCAUUGUGUUGACAUAAAGGGGUAUCGAAGACUGCUACUUUUGCUUAACGUUGUUGAAUUUUGCAUACAAGUUCCGUGAAGGAUGAAGAGUGCGAAAGUUGAUUAACAAUUGAGAUGACUGCUUUUUCGCUUUUCUCCUAUACUGUCAUGAUCAAGACGCAAGAUCAGAUCUUUCCAACCACGAACAGUGUGCAUUUGACAGUCUGAAUUUCUUUUUUUUUUGAAAAAAAUCUUGCCCCGGUGAUGAUUAGUAAUCAUCCAAAAUUAUACAUGUAUAAAUAUAUUUAUGGGAAC
Long non-coding RNA from Coffea eugenioides, 536 nucleotides. RefSeq lists it as uncharacterized. The record is from RefSeq and is a predicted model, not a curated record. The transcript is spliced from 5 exons. NCBI's taxonomy places the organism in Eukaryota, Viridiplantae, Streptophyta, Magnoliopsida, Gentianales, Rubiaceae.